CCUACGGGAGGCAGCAGUGGGGAAUAUUGCACAAUGGGGGAGACCCUGAUGCAGCAACGCCGCGUGAAGGAAGACGGUUUUCGGAUUUGUAACUUCCUUUCUUAGUGGAGAAUAAUGACGGUAGCUAACCAGCAAGCCACGACUAACUACGUGCCAGCAGCCGCGGUAAUACGGAGGAGGCGAGCGUUGUCCGGAGUUACUGGGUGUAAAGGGAGCGCAGGGGGGUAGGGAAGUCAGGUGUGAAAGCUACGGGCUUAACUUGUAGACUGCAGUUGAAACUGGUUUUCUUGAGUGAAGUAGAGGUUGGCGGAAUUCGGGGUGUAGCGGUGAAAUGCGUAGAUAUUAGGAGGAACACCGGUGGCGAAGGCGGCUUACUGGGCUGUAACUGACGCUGAGGCUCGAAAGUGUGGGGAGCAAACAGGAUGAGAUACCCCGGUAGUC
This 441-nucleotide ribosomal RNA is filed under the name uncultured bacterium. RNAcentral describes it as "partial 16S ribosomal RNA". It matches the Rfam family "Bacterial small subunit ribosomal RNA", at positions 338 to 795 of the family's 1533-position model. The record is from RNAcentral.